This is a transfer RNA of Devosia geojensis, 87 nucleotides long. It matches the Rfam family "tRNA". From Rfam's summary of the family: Transfer RNA (tRNA) molecules are approximately 80 nucleotides in length. NCBI's taxonomy places the organism in Bacteria, Pseudomonadati, Pseudomonadota, Alphaproteobacteria, Hyphomicrobiales, Devosiaceae. The record is from Rfam.
GGAGAGGUGGCCGAGUGGUCGAAGGCACACCCCUGCUAAGGGUGCAGAUGGGCAACUGUCUCGAGGGUUCGAAUCCCUUCCUCUCCG